This 285-nucleotide ribosomal RNA is filed under the name Triticum aestivum (bread wheat). RNAcentral's name for it is "partial small subunit ribosomal RNA". The record is from RNAcentral. Lineage: Eukaryota; Viridiplantae; Streptophyta; Magnoliopsida; Poales; Poaceae.
AUGCCGCCACCACUCGUCGUCAAUGACGCAGUAGAUACAACGCCGCACCACCUGGCAACCUCCACACCAUCGCCACUGCUGGAGCUACUCGGAGCCCACCAUCCACAACAUCUCUCCCCCGAACAGCAGUUCCUUCCAAGACGGCGCCUCCAUGGAGGAUACGACGCGCAGGACGCCGCCGCCGCCCAAUCCAGACUGAAUUUUGGACUUUCGUCCGGGAGGGGUUCGGGGGUGGAUAGGGGGGACCUCUGCUUCGCCUCUAGGAAGGGUAACGGCGUCAAGUGA